Long non-coding RNA from Zea mays, 534 nucleotides. RefSeq lists it as uncharacterized. The transcript is spliced from 3 exons. The record is from RefSeq and is a predicted model, not a curated record. Lineage: Eukaryota; Viridiplantae; Streptophyta; Magnoliopsida; Poales; Poaceae.
UUCAUAUGGGCACAACAGCGGUUGGUGAAGUGGCGCCCAUGUGAGUGGUGGCUGUCGGGGCCGCCGGUGCAAGGUCACGCCUCACUAUUUUGGGGUGGGAUCUGGAUUCUAGACCUGGAAGUACUGAUGAUUAAUGCCUGCCCUCCAUGUGCAGCUCCAUCCAGGAGGAACAGGUAACACAGCCUGCUGAAUUUGAAAAAUGUAUGGUUCCUCUUUCCCACCAGAUCACUCACUGCUUGAACAGCUCUCACUUCCAGGUAACACAUGGAAUUCCUCUGUACCGGCUGCAUUUGUAAAUCAAAGCUAGGACAAAAGCGAAAAAGCUGGCUGGGCACUAAUCAAACAAGCCUUUUUUAUUUUAGGCAUCACCAUUGGAUUUGUGUUGUUCUGAUUGUAGAAAUAACAUGGCUUUAGAAUUGGAAUAUUUACCCUGUAUUAUCAUUUAUGAAACAUAGUCUUAUGAUUGUUGCUAUUUUUGGUUCAUCGAACACACUUUACCACACCUGACCUGAGUUGGUCAAGUCUGGCUUUCCA